AGGUGCUCCCACCAGGCAUGCGCGGUCAGAAUCCUGCCCUGGGACUUUCUACCCAGCAGGUGGCGAGGAGGAGCCCGGUGCAGUGAUGUGGAUGGACUGGGUCAGACACUGCGCAUGCUCAGUGGCGGUUGCAUCAAUGGUGGCGCAGCUCAUGAUGGCGCCGGGUUCUACUGGCUGUAACCUGUAGUUUGGGCGAGGGAAUAUUCUUUCCUUUACAACCUGCCAUCUUCCACGUGAUCUGAAUCUCCUCUGACUAAGAAAACUAUUUAUACAAAAUGUUUUCUCGAUCCAAAUGCAGUUUGGAUAUUUACUGCUCAUCUGCAUCACAGCGUCUUUAUUUGAACAUCUGGUUUUCUGCUGCGAGCCUCCCUGUGGCUGGAUAGAAGCCACUUUGAAACCUGGAAGCAAUGCCUGAGGUUCUCUAAUUACCUAUUUUCCCCUCAAAUAGAAAUAAAAUUGACUGUAAGAAAAUUUGGCAAUGAUUCAUUUUGUGGACUGCUCUGAUAAUUUAUUGUAGCCCAAUUUCAUCAGUCCUAUUGAACUUGUAUCAAAGAAAGUUUCAAUGAUUUAAAGAGAAAUCUAUCACACAACAAACUGGCUUCAUUUCAGAUUCAUUGCUGUUAGGUAGAAUCUUCAUCACAGAUGGUAGGAUCCAGCAUCAUCUGGCCCUGAG
RNAcentral lists this long non-coding RNA (673 nucleotides) under Macaca fascicularis (crab-eating macaque). RNAcentral's name for it is "lncRNA (ENSMFAG00000064244.1)". Lineage: Eukaryota; Metazoa; Chordata; Mammalia; Primates; Cercopithecidae. The record is from RNAcentral.